RNAcentral lists this ribosomal RNA (434 nucleotides) under uncultured bacterium. Its description in RNAcentral is "bacterial SSU rRNA". It matches the Rfam family "Bacterial small subunit ribosomal RNA", at positions 957 to 1391 of the family's 1533-position model. The record is from RNAcentral.
GAACGCGAAGAACCUUACCUGGUCUUGACAUCCACAGAACUUUCCAGAGAUGGAUUGGUGCCUUCGGGAACUGUGAGACAGGUGCUGCAUGGCUGUCGUCAGCUCGUGUUGUGAAAUGUUGGGUUAAGUCCCGCAACGAGCGCAACCCUUAUCCUUUGUUGCCAGCGGUCCGGCCGGGAACUCAAAGGAGACUGCCAGUGAUAAACUGGAGGAAGGUGGGGAUGACGUCAAGUCAUCAUGGCCCUUACGACCAGGGCUACACACGUGCUACAAUGGCGCAUACAAAGAGAAGCGACCUCGCGAGAGCAAGCGGACCUCAUAAAGUGCGUCGUAGUCCGGAUUGGAGUCUGCAACUCGACUCCAUGAAGUCGGAAUCGCUAGUAAUCGUGGAUCAGAAUGCCACGGUGAAUACGUUCCCGGGUCUUGUACACACC